This 2199-nucleotide ribosomal RNA is filed under the name Escherichia coli. RNAcentral's name for it is "partial 23S ribosomal RNA". It matches the Rfam family "Bacterial large subunit ribosomal RNA", at positions 612 to 2797 of the family's 2925-position model. Lineage: Bacteria; Pseudomonadati; Pseudomonadota; Gammaproteobacteria; Enterobacterales; Enterobacteriaceae. The record is from RNAcentral.
AUAAUGGGUCAGCGACUUAUAUUCUGUAGCAAGGUUAACCGAAUAGGGGAGCCGAAGGGAAACCGAGUCUUAACUGGGCGUUAAGUUGCAGGGUAUAGACCCGAAACCCGGUGAUCUAGCCAUGGGCAGGUUGAAGGUUGGGUAACACUAACUGGAGGACCGAACCGACUAAUGUUGAAAAAUUAGCGGAUGACUUGUGGCUGGGGGUGAAAGGCCAAUCAAACCGGGAGAUAGCUGGUUCUCCCCGAAAGCUAUUUAGGUAGCGCCUCGUGAAUUCAUCUCCGGGGGUAGAGCACUGUUUCGGCAAGGGGGUCAUCCCGACUUACCAACCCGAUGCAAACUGCGAAUACCGGAGAAUGUUAUCACGGGAGACACACGGCGGGUGCUAACGUCCGUCGUGAAGAGGGAAACAACCCAGACCGCCAGCUAAGGUCCCAAAGUCAUGGUUAAGUGGGAAACGAUGUGGGAAGGCCCAGACAGCCAGGAUGUUGGCUUAGAAGCAGCCAUCAUUUAAAGAAAGCGUAAUAGCUCACUGGUCGAGUCGGCCUGCGCGGAAGAUGUAACGGGGCUAAACCAUGCACCGAAGCUGCGGCAGCGACACUGUGUGUUGUUGGGUAGGGGAGCGUUCUGUAAGCCUGCGAAGGUGUGCUGUGAGGCAUGCUGGAGGUAUCAGAAGUGCGAAUGCUGACAUAAGUAACGAUAAAGCGGGUGAAAAGCCCGCUCGCCGGAAGACCAAGGGUUCCUGUCCAACGUUAAUCGGGGCAGGGUGAGUCGACCCCUAAGGCGAGGCCGAAAGGCGUAGUCGAUGGGAAACAGGUUAAUAUUCCUGUACUUGGUGUUACUGCGAAGGGGGGACGGAGAAGGCUAUGUUGGCCGGGCGACGGUUGUCCCGGUUUAAGCGUGUAGGCUGGUUUUCCAGGCAAAUCCGGAAAAUCAAGGCUGAGGCGUGAUGACGAGGCACUACGGUGCUGAAGCAACAAAUGCCCUGCUUCCAGGAAAAGCCUCUAAGCAUCAGGUAACAUCAAAUCGUACCCCAAACCGACACAGGUGGUCAGGUAGAGAAUACCAAGGCGCUUGAGAGAACUCGGGUGAAGGAACUAGGCAAAAUGGUGCCGUAACUUCGGGAGAAGGCACGCUGAUAUGUAGGUGAAGUCCCUCGCGGAUGGAGCUGAAAUCAGUCGAAGAUACCAGCUGGCUGCAACUGUUUAUUAAAAACACAGCACUGUGCAAACACGAAAGUGGACGUAUACGGUGUGACGCCUGCCCGGUGCCGGAAGGUUAAUUGAUGGGGUCAGCGCAAGCGAAGCUCUUGAUCGAAGCCCCGGUAAACGGCGGCCGUAACUAUAACGGUCCUAAGGUAGCGAAAUUCCUUGUCGGGUAAGUUCCGACCUGCACGAAUGGCGUAAUGAUGGCCAGGCUGUCUCCACCCGAGACUCAGUGAAAUUGAACUCGCUGUGAAGAUGCAGUGUACCCGCGGCAAGACGGAAAGACCCCGUGAACCUUUACUAUAGCUUGACACUGAACAUUGAGCCUUGAUGUGUAGGAUAGGUGGGAGGCUUUGAAGUGUGGACGCCAGUCUGCAUGGAGCCGACCUUGAAAUACCACCCUUUAAUGUUUGAUGUUCUAACGUUGACCCGUGAUCCGGGUUGCGGACAGUGUCUGGUGGGUAGUUUGACUGGGGCGGUCUCCUCCUAAAGAGUAACGGAGGAGCACGAAGGUUGGCUAAUCCUGGUCGGACAUCAGGAGGUUAGUGCAAUGGCAUAAGCCAGCUUGACUGCGAGCGUGACGGCGCGAGCAGGUGCGAAAGCAGGUCAUAGUGAUCCGGUGGUUCUGAAUGGAAGGGCCAUCGCUCAACGGAUAAAAGGUACUCCGGGGAUAACAGGCUGAUACCGCCCAAGAGUUCAUAUCGACGGCGGUGUUUGGCACCUCGAUGUCGGCUCAUCACAUCCUGGGGCUGAAGUAGGUCCCAAGGGUAUGGCUGUUCGCCAUUUAAAGUGGUACGCGAGCUGGGUUUAGAACGUCGUGAGACAGUUCGGUCCCUAUCUGCCGUGGGCGCUGGAGAACUGAGGGGGGCUGCUCCUAGUACGAGAGGACCGGAGUGGACGCAUCACUGGUGUUCGGGUUGUCAUGCCAAUGGCACUGCCCGGUAGCUAAAUGCGGAAGAGAUAAGUGCUGAAAGCAUCUAAGCACGAAACUUGC